Mirounga angustirostris (Northern elephant seal) is the source of this 3516-nucleotide RNA transcript. It is a transcript of the gene named progestin and adipoQ receptor family member 3, with no coding region annotated. The transcript has 8 exons. Lineage: Eukaryota; Metazoa; Chordata; Mammalia; Carnivora; Phocidae. The record is from RefSeq and is a predicted model, not a curated record.
CGGGUCCGCCGCGGCGCUGACGGCGGUGGCCGGCCGGUGUGAGCGCGGAGCGGGGCCUGGGCAGCGGCGGGACCGUAGGACCUCGCGCUGUGUUCUCGGGCUCCGGGGCGGGGGCGGCGGCGGCAAGGCCCCCUCCCCGGGGAGGCGGGGCCUGGGCGAGCUCCCCAGAGGGGGAGCGGCGGCGGCAGGGAAGGAUGCAUCAGAAACUACUGAAGAGCGCGCAUUACAUAGAGCUGGGCAGCUACCAGUACUGGCCGGUCCUGGUGCCCCGCGGCAUCCGCCUCUACACCUACGAGCAGAUCCCUGUGUCCCUCAAGGACAACCCGUACAUCACCGACGGCUACCGGGCCUACCUCCCCUCCAGGCUGUGUAUCAAAAGUUUGUUUAUUUUAUCUAAUGAGACAGUAAACAUCUGGAGUCAUUUGCUGGGUUUUUUUCUCUUCUUUACCCUGGGAAUAUAUGAUAUGACAUCAGUAUUACCUUCGGCAAGUGCGUCCAGAGAAGAUUUUGUAAUUUGUUCUAUUUGUCUUUUCUGCUUCCAGGUCUGUAUGCUUUGCUCUGUGGGCUAUCAUCUUUUUUCCUGCCAUCGAUCAGAAAAAACCUGUCGAAGAUGGAUGGCAUUAGAUUAUGCAGGAAUUUCUAUUGGAAUACUGGGAUGCUAUGUCUCCGGGGUAUUUUAUGCAUUUUAUUGUAAUAACUAUUGGCGUCAAGUGUACUUGAUCACAGUGCUCGCUAUGAUCCUGGCAGUGUUCUUCGCACAGAUCCAUCCCAAUUACCUCACGCAGCAGUGGCAGAGGCUCCGCUCCAUCAUCUUCUGUUCCGUUUCGGGAUACGGAGUGAUCCCUACCCUUCACUGGGUUUGGCUCAAUGGAGGAAUCGGUGCUCCUAUUGUACAGGACUUUGCACCCCGUGUAAUUGUGAUGUAUGUGAUUGCUCUUCUUGCUUUCCUAUUCUACAUUUCCAAAGUUCCAGAACGGUACUUUCCAGGACAACUGAACUACCUCGGAUCAAGCCACCAGAUAUGGCAUGUCCUUGCAGUAGUGAUGUUAUAUUGGUGGCAUCAGUCAACAGUGUAUGUCAUGCAGUACCGACAUAGCAAGCCUUGCCCUGACUAUGUUUCACAUUUGUGAACUCAGCUUCAAAAUCGUAUUUUAGAAUCAGGAAUGAAGAUUCAGGGAAUCUCUGUCACAUCCUUUGGCAUCCUACCUGGACAAAGUAUCCGAUUUGAAGAUUGUGAUUGACUGGCAUAAAGCUGUGCAACUCCAUUUGGCAGGUACCUACCGAGAGCUAUCCUUUGCCCUGUAUUAAAAUGUCAAGGGGCAAAGCCUACACUUCUGGAUUCCUGCCAACUGCUGAGCUGAGUAGAUCUGUAUCCACCUGAAGUCAUCAUUCCGGGAAUUAAUGCCAAGAGUCCGCCAGAAGUAUCUACUGUUUAGAAGGAAAUGGAGCAGCACCAAAUGGGUCUAAUUCGACUGACUGGGACUGUUGGGGCUGAUGUGAAGUGAUGCUUUGCACUACAAGUUCUGUAAAGGGCACGGCACCAAAAUCAUCCAUUUUCAAGGCAUCUGUACUAUGGAACGAGCCAUGCAGUGAAUUGGGUCUGGGCCGCCCAGGCAGGCCGGGGUUGUGAUCGGCACGGACGUCACUCAGGCCCUGAUGUGGAGGGUGCCACGGCAGGUCUGGAGGAUGGAAGGGCUUGGCACCGAACGGGUCCAACAGACUCUCCUCGGGCUGCAGGCCGUUCCCUCUGUCUUUCCCAUCCGUUAGUGCAAUGCUAAUGUUCUCCUUGGAGUCUGAGAUGGUUAAAAAUUCAUUGCUACUUUGAGAGUCUCGGCGGCCCACCUUCUUGUGCCUGCGAGCCCUCUCUGGAGUGCGGUAGGUAGGCUUCACAGUCUUCUUCGUGCUGGUUGGCGUGCCAUGAUGCCGCUUGCCAUUACUUUUGGGCAGAUCCUGCUUUGUGCGCCUCUGGCGAGAAGACAGUUUCUGUAAGCUUCGCUGUUUGACUUUUUGUUGUUGACUCCCAGUUAUUUCCUCAAAGGGCACAAGCCCAAAAACGUCCUCGUUGCUGUCACUUUUGCUUAUUGAUGUGGGAAAGGGCUGAAAGGGAGUGGAGCCAAAGAUAUCUACACUCUUCGGACAACCGGUUUGUGCUUCCGGCCCCACGGCACGGCAUUCUGGUACAUUCACCUUCUUGCUGAAGGGUGCCUUUGUGAAUACAUCAAAUUCCUCCUGCUCUAGACCCACAGUAGGACAGAGGGGCUGUUGACAGAAGUCCUUUUCAUUCUUCCCUUGGUGAGGCUGUUGAGCACGCACUGCAAAGAAGGGGACAGCGCCAAAUACAUCAAACUCCUGUUUAGGAGCCUCCACUCCAACAUCAGAGGGCAGUCGGGUCGAGGUGAGGAGUGUGUUAGGAGGAUCUUGCGUUGGUCCACUGCCAGAUUUGUCUCUGUAGACAGGGCUCGCAUCACUGUACUUUACUUUGGCCUGCUCAUAAUCAGAAUCAGAGCUAUGUUUCUCUUCUUCCUCAUCUUCAGAAUCCAUGAGGAGAGGCCUAUGACCCAGAUUUUCCGGUUCAGUAUCAUCAUCAUUAAAAUCUCCUUGUUCUCCCUGAAGAACUUCUUCAUCCUCUUGUUCCUCCUCUUCGCUGCUCUUAGGAGAAGGGGGAUCUGAUUCGAAAUCACUUUCAGACUCAUCGUUCUGCUUUUGCACUUGACCCUGUACUGAUGAUGAAUUCUCUGAGGUUUUCUUUCCAGUCCGGUGGUCUUUAGAUACUGGACUUGCUUUUCUAUUCUUGAUAGGGUUUGCAGAACUAUUUUCUUGAUUCAUGGAUGAAUGUUCAAUUUUCUUUUCUGGAGAACCUGCAGGUUCAAAGAAAAAUCAUUAUAGCAUUCCAAUACAUUUCAAGAACCAUUUGCACUAAACAAUAUGCAAGAACACAAGGCAUUACAAAUCCCUCAUACCAGUUCACUUAGAGAAAAUAAUGUCAAUUCUUUGGUCAUUAGGCUUAGGGAACGCACGUAUCCUCAACUAGACAGUUAGGUCCUCUAGUGCAGAGAGAUUUACUUGCCUCUGUACCCUACACACCACCACCUACUCAUCAUAGGCCCUCAUUGACAGCUUUUUAUUUAUGGUACCCAGUAGAGGCUCUGAAUAUAAUACACAGGCAAAUUUUCUUCUCCGACUUUCCAAGUAAGAUUAUUCAGCUAAUUGCCCCUACUCAGAAUCCCACAUUUACCAAACCACAUUCUGCUUAUAUUUCAACUCCAUUAUAAAGUUUUCCCAAAGAGAUCAACAAGCAGGAAGAGCUUGUCUGCUCAGUUAUAUGUUUCACUGUAAUUUUUUAAAAUUAGCAUUCUGGUCGUCUUACAACCUAGGUUAGCACGAGUGCCUCCCCAUAAUCUGAUCAAAGCCAAGGACCAGGUACUGAACCAAGACCGUACCAAGGACAUCUGCCUUCUCUAGAUGACACAUCUUCCUUUAACUGUCUUAUCUUCACUACUAAACACUCCAUUAAAA